CCGAGAGAGGCGUCCGCCUCGGGGGGCCUUGCGCCCCCGACUCUUCACCCGUGCGCUGUCCACCCGUGUUGCUUUGACGGCUCGGCCGUCGGAGAAAACCUGCCAAAACUCUGAUUAUCAGUGUCGUCCGAGUCGCACCGAAUAACCA
This 148-nucleotide unclassified non-coding RNA is filed under the name Pseudocyphellaria argyracea. Its description in RNAcentral is "ITS1". The record is from RNAcentral. Lineage: Eukaryota; Fungi; Ascomycota; Lecanoromycetes; Peltigerales; Lobariaceae.